AGAUGUUUUGAACAGAUGACCUGGACGGACUCCAGCGGGAAGCGAGCCAUCUGAAGCACAGAGACAGCCGUAAAUAAAAUAAACAGACAGUCUGCAGAAUCUAUUACACACACUGAGAUUUAACUUGAUCCACAGACAGAACAUACAAGUAUUACUGCCAUCACUCCCCUGGUUCAAGACGUCCUGUAAGACACUGAACACAAACUGAAUGUUUCUGUUUCAACCUCAGAGGGAAAACUGAAGCAGCAGAUUUUGGUUGUCAGAAAACAGAUCUCAGGCCACGUUUUGGCUCAAAAUUCAAUUUAAUCAGCAGUAAAUUUGCUGGUUUUAUGUCUGAACUGGAGAAAAUAGUUAAUUUGCUGCUCUAACAAGACAAACGCGUUAAUUUCAGCUGCAUCACUGAUGAACUAAACACCAAUUUAAAGUGAUAAAGACAAAAAUCCAACUUCAUGCAACAUCAUCUUACAGGACUUCUACACAUUUUCCAAUUUAAAAAUCUUUCCUAGACUUUUUUCCACACUUUGAGUACAUAUAACUGAUGUCUAUAAUUGCUUUAAAAUCCAACUUUUAAAAAAUACAGUAGUGGAAAAAAGUUUUUAGACACUCCAUGCAUUUGUGAAAUACUGCAUUAAGAAUCAUCCUUCGGUCUUCAAGUGUAAUCUAUUUUAGUCCAGUCACAGCCAAAAUACUAAACAAAUCCUAAAAAAAGCCACUAAAAACUUAAAAUGGAUUGGUUCCAUAAAAAUGCAGAAAAAUUUUUGAGUAUUGGGUCAUUUUGGUUGCAAUGAUCCACUAAUGAAGGUCGUGCUUUUUAUUUAAAGACAAUUUUUGUUGCCGUGCUUCGUGUCUACGUAAAGCAGCACAUUUUAAAGUUCUUUAGAGACAAAAAUGGCUAAAACAAGGAACCUAACACAGGAAACACGCCUGAAGAUCCAGAUUCACAGCCUGGAAGGGUACAGCUGCUGCCAGAUAGCCAGGAAGUACAGAUGCAGUCCUUCAGCAGUUGGUCACUCUGCAGAAACACAGCUUGGAAGAUCUGGGCAUCCAAGGGUUUCUUCAGCAAGAAAUGACCACAUCCUUAUCCGCAUGUUCAGGGAAAACCAUCCAAUGACAUCACAGGAGUUUCAGGAGCAGUGGUAAAACCAAACUGGUGUCCAGUGUUCCACCAGCACUGUACCUGGCCGACUUUAAGAUCAUGGCUUAAGGUCCUACAAGGCUGUCAAGAAGCCUCUGAUCAGUGAGACAGAGGUUAGCCCGGUGUCGUUGGGCCCAAGAACACAAGAAGUGGACAGACAGGAACUGGAAGAAGAUUCUGUGGUCAGAUGAGUCCAGUUUCCAGCUUUAUCUUCUUCCUGCUAACGUGAGGUUACACAGAAGGUCAGGAGAAGCAUCAUCUCCAGGCAGCUUAAACCAACAUUUCCA
Long non-coding RNA from Amphiprion ocellaris (clown anemonefish), 1422 nucleotides. The record is from Ensembl. Lineage: Eukaryota; Metazoa; Chordata; Actinopteri; Pomacentridae.